GUAAAAUUGUACCUUCUAGCAUUAACUGACUUGAAUAAAAUCUGCUUUUCUAAGAAAACAAAAGAGGAGAAACAGAUGGGAGUGAAUUAGGAAGAGAAAAAUCUAUUGUUGUGAUGCUUUAAUCCAUUGAAAUACGUGAGCCUGGAAAUGUAGUAAUAAAAAUUCAGGGACUAUAUUUUAGGAGGAAUUAGGUGCUAGCAGGUGUUUUCUAAGGGUCAAGGUUACACUGUCCUGAAGAAUGACAGCAGGGAAGCCAGCUCUGGAGUGUCGCAUCAGUGAUUCCGCACACCACAGCCUAAGCCAGAGCUGCUGAAAUGUGUUCUCAUGACUGGGAGUCCAGCUGCUUUCUCUAGGAUGCAGGGCUAGAAUACUACCUACAACAGAGCUUUGUUUAAUAAAUACAGGAUCUUAUUCUGGAAUCCAAAUUUCUGAUGCCCCUGGGAGUUGAUGAUGUUGGCAGAUCUUGGAAAGAAAAGCUCCCAGCUCUUUCCAGCACAGAGCAUCUUGGGGUCAACUGCUGAAAAAAUGAACUAGUAAACUCAUUGCUAUCACCUGA
This 556-nucleotide long non-coding RNA is filed under the name Parus major (Great Tit). RNAcentral describes it as "lncRNA (ENSPMJG00000010931.1)". Lineage: Eukaryota; Metazoa; Chordata; Aves; Passeriformes; Paridae. The record is from RNAcentral.